RNAcentral lists this ribosomal RNA (253 nucleotides) under uncultured bacterium. Its description in RNAcentral is "partial 16S ribosomal RNA". It matches the Rfam family "Bacterial small subunit ribosomal RNA", at positions 524 to 776 of the family's 1533-position model. The record is from RNAcentral.
UACGAAGGGUGCAAGCGUUACUCGGAAUUACUGGGCGUAAAGCGUGCGUAGGUGGUUUGUUAAGUCUGAUGUGAAAGCCCUGGGCUCAACCUGGGAAUUGCAUUGGAUACUGGCAGGCUAGAGUGCGGUAGAGGAUGGCGGAAUUCCCGGUGUGGCAGUGAAAUGCGUAGAGAUCGGGAGGAACAUCUGUGGCGAAGGCGGCCAUCUGGACCAGCACUGACACUGAGGCACGAGAGCCAGGGGAGCAAACGGG